CCGGUGGAAACUGCCUGGCUUGGGACCGGAAGACCAGAGGGGUACGUCUGGGGUAGGAGUGAAAUCCCGUAAUCCUGGACGGACCACCGGUGGCGAAAGCGCCUCUGGAAGACGGAUCCGACGGUGAGGGACGAAAGCUCGGGUCACGAACCGGAUUAGAUACCCGGGUAGUCCGAGCUGUAAACGAUGUCUGCUAGGUGUGCCACAGGCUACGAGCCUGUGGUGUGCCGCAGGGAAGCCGUGAAGCAGACCGCCUGGGAAGUACGUCCGCAAGGAUGAAACUUAAAGGAAUUGGCGGGGGAGCACUACAACCGGAGGAGCCUGCGGUUUAAUUGGACUCAACGCCGGACAUCUCACCAGCAUCGACAGUAGGAGUGACGGUCAGUGUGAUGAGCUUACCAGACCUACUGAGAGGAGGUGCAUGGCCGCCGUCAGCUCGUACCGUGAGGCGUCCUGUUAAGUCAGGCAACGAGCGAGACCCGCACUCCUAAUUGCCAGCAACACCCUUGUGGUGGUUGGGUACAUUAGGAGGACUGCCAGUGCCAAACUGGAGGAAGGAACGGGCAACGGUAGGUCAGUAUGCCCCGAAUGUGCUGGGCAACACGCGGGCUACAAUGGUCGAGACAGUGGGAUGCAACCCCGAGAGGGGGCGCUAAUCUCCGAAACUCGAUCGUAGUUCGGAUUGCGGACUGAAACUCGUCCGCAUGAAGCUGGAUUCGGUAGUAAUCGCGUUCAGAGAC
RNAcentral lists this ribosomal RNA (740 nucleotides) under Natronococcus sp. SSL9. RNAcentral's name for it is "bacterial SSU rRNA". It matches the Rfam family "Archaeal small subunit ribosomal RNA", at positions 574 to 1311 of the family's 1478-position model. Lineage: Archaea; Methanobacteriati; Methanobacteriota; Halobacteria; Halobacteriales; Natrialbaceae. The record is from RNAcentral.